Molecule: ribosomal RNA, 764 nt
Filed under: uncultured Fusobacterium sp.
Lineage: Bacteria; Fusobacteriati; Fusobacteriota; Fusobacteriia; Fusobacteriales; Fusobacteriaceae
Description: bacterial SSU rRNA
Rfam family: Bacterial small subunit ribosomal RNA
Source: RNAcentral
UGCAAGUCUACUUGAACUUCGGUUUGGGUGGCGGACGGGUGAGUAACGCGUAAAGAACUUGCCUCACAGACUGGGACAACAUCUGGAAACGGAUGCUAAUACCGGAUAUUAUGAUUUUAGUGCAUGCUAGAAUUAUGAAAGCUAUAUGCGCUGUGAGAGAGCUUUGCGUCCCAUUAGCUAGUUGGAGAGGUAACGGCUCACCAAGGCGAUGAUGGGUAGCCGGCCUGAGAGGGUGAACGGCCACAAGGGGACUGAGACACGGCCCUUACUCCUACGGGAGGCAGCAGUGGGGAAUAUUGGACAAUGGACCGAGAGUCUGAUCCAGCAAUUCUGUGUGCACGAUGAAGUUUUUCGGAAUGUAAAGUGCUUUCAGUUGGGAAGAAAAAAAUGACGGUACCAACAGAAGGAGUGACGGCUAAAUACGUGCCAGCAGCCGCGGUAAUACGUAUGUCACAAGCGUUAUCCGGAUUUAUUGGGCGUAAAGCGCGUCUAGGCGGCUAUGUAAGUCUGAUGUGAAAAUGCGGGGCUCAACUCCGUAUUGCGUUGGAAACUGUGUAGCUAGAGUAUCGGAGAGGUAAGCGGAACUACAAGUGUAGAGGUGAAAUUCGUAGAUAUUUGUAGGAAUGCCGAUGGGGAAGCCAGCUUACUGGACGAAUACUGACGCUAAAGCGCGAAAGCGUGGGUAGCAAACAGGAUUAGAUACCCUGGUAGUCCACGCCGUAAACGAUGAUUACUAGGUGUUGGGGGUCGAACCUCAGCGCCCA